GAUGAUAUAGUUUAAUGUGGUAGAACGGUCGUAUGAUAAACGAUAUGUAUGGGUUCGAUCCCUGUUGUUGUCA
Molecule: transfer RNA, 73 nt
Filed under: Ochrobactrum phage vB_OspM_OC
Lineage: Duplodnaviria; Heunggongvirae; Uroviricota; Caudoviricetes; Pantevenvirales; Kyanoviridae
Rfam family: tRNA
About the family: Transfer RNA (tRNA) molecules are approximately 80 nucleotides in length. Their secondary structure includes four short double-helical elements and three loops (D, anti-codon, and T loops).
Source: Rfam by way of RNAcentral